AUGUGUUUGGUUCUGGUUAUUGACUGUAGUAGUAGUAGCAGUAGUAGUAGUAGUAGUAGUAGUAGUAGUAGUAGUAAUAAUAAUAAUAAUAAUAAUAAUAAUAAUAAUAAUAAUAAUAAUAAUACUGCUCUGGCAGAAUAUGUAAAGCAAAGUGAAGAACCUGCUUUGAUUGAAGUCAAAAAUCAGAAACUCCUCAAAGCGCAGCAGACAAAAAACCAGUACAAGAAAGCCGCACUACAAACUAGAGCUGACAGCUGGCACAACAAAAAAAAGCAUGGAAAGUUCCUUGACAAAAUUGAAGGAAAAGCUGAUAAGGAGAAGACCUGGCUAUGGCUCACGAAUGGGACCCUGAAGAAGGAGACAGAAGGCCUGAUCCUUGCAGCCCAGGAGCAAGCCAUCAGAACAAAUGCAAUUAAGGCCAAGAUUGAAAAAUCAGCUGAUGACCCAAAAUGCAGACUGUGCAAGGAAACUGACAAAACCAUUGAUCAUAUCCUCAGCUGCUGUAAGAAAAUUGCACAGACAGACUACAAACAGAGGCACAACUACGUGGCCCAAAUGAUUCACUGGAACUUAUGCCUCAAGUACCACCUCCCAGCAGCAAAGAACUGGUGGGAUCACAAACCUGCAAAAGUAUUGGAAAAUGAGCACGCAAAGAUACUGUGGGACUUCCGAAUCCAGACUGACAAAGUUCUGGAACACAACACACCAGACAUCACAGUUGUGGAAAAGAAAAAGGUUUGGAUCAUUAAUGUUGCCAUUCCAGGUGACAGUCGCAUUGACGAAAAACAACAGGAAAAACUAAGCCGCUAUCAGGACCUCAAGACUGAACUUCAAAGACUCUGGCAGAAACCAGUGCAGGUGAUGGGCACACUGGGUGCCGUGCCAAAAGAUCUCAGCCAGCAUUUGGAAACCAUAGACAUUGACAAAAUUACGAUCUGCCAACUGCAAAAGGCCACCCUGCUGGGAUCUGCACGCAUUAUCCGAAAAUACAUCACACAGUCCUAG
Molecule: long non-coding RNA, 1005 nt
Filed under: Anolis carolinensis (green anole)
Lineage: Eukaryota; Metazoa; Chordata; Lepidosauria; Squamata; Anolidae
Description: lncRNA (ENSACAG00000035424.1)
Source: RNAcentral